AACGAACGCUGGCGGCGCGCCUAAUACAUGCAAGUCGAGCGAGAAGACGUAGCAAUACGUUUGUAAAGCGGCGAACGGGUGAGGAAUACAUGGGUAACCUACCCUCGAGUGGGGAAUAACUAGCCGAAAGGUUAGCUAAUACCGCGUACGCUCCUCGGACUUCGGUUCAGGGAGGAAAGCGAUACCGUGGGUAUCGCGCUCUUGGAUGGGCUCAUGUCCUAUCAGCUUGUUGGNGAGGUAACGGCUCACCAAGGCUUCGACGGGUAGCUGGUCUGAGAGGACGAUCAGCCACACUGGCACUGCGACACGGGCCAGACUCCUACGGGAGGCAGCAGUGGGGAAUAUUGCGCAAUGGGCGAAAGCCUGACGCAGCGACGCCGCGUGGGGGA
RNAcentral lists this ribosomal RNA (389 nucleotides) under uncultured bacterium. RNAcentral's name for it is "bacterial SSU rRNA". It matches the Rfam family "Bacterial small subunit ribosomal RNA", at positions 29 to 408 of the family's 1533-position model. The record is from RNAcentral.